This 265-nucleotide ribosomal RNA is filed under the name uncultured archaeon. Its description in RNAcentral is "partial 16S ribosomal RNA". It matches the Rfam family "Archaeal small subunit ribosomal RNA", at positions 714 to 982 of the family's 1478-position model. The record is from RNAcentral.
AGACGUCUACAUUAGAUACCCCUGUAGUCCCAGCCGUAAACUAUGCGCGUUAGGUGUAUCGGUGACCACGAGUCACCGAGGUGCCGGAGAGAAGUUGUUAAGUCUGCUACUUGGGGAGUACGUCCGCAAGGAUGAAACUUAAAGGAAUUGGCGGGGGAGCACCACAACGGGUGGAGCCUGCGGUUUAAUUGGACUCAACGCCGGACAUCUCACCAGGAGCGACAGCUGUAUGAUUACCAGGCUGAUGACCUUGUUUGACUAGCUG